Chelonia mydas (Green sea turtle) is the source of this 461-nucleotide long non-coding RNA. RefSeq lists it as uncharacterized. The transcript has 4 exons. The record is from RefSeq and is a predicted model, not a curated record. Lineage: Eukaryota; Metazoa; Chordata; Testudines; Cheloniidae.
CUCGGAAGCGGGCACCUAAAACUGUACGGUGGCCGCAAAAAGUCAGACGGAAGUGAUAAGCCGACGGACUUGUACUUCCGGGCAGCGCUCUGGUUGGGAGCGUGUUGAGACUUGGACUGCGCUAUGUCGGGCAGAGACGGCGGUAAGAAGAAACCUCUGAAGCAACCGAAGAAACAGACAAAGGACAUGGACGAGGAAGAUUUGGCGUUCAAGCAAAAACAGAAGGAAGAGCAGAAGAAACUUGCGGAGAUGAAGACAAAAGCUUCUGGGAAAGGCCCCCUUACUGGUGGUGGCAUCAAGAAGUCUGGCAAAAAGUAGUUACAUGCUGUAGAAGAAGCAGUCUGCUCCCAUUGGUUGCUUGUCUACGCAAUGGAUCUGCAGAUUCAUGUAGUCAAGAAAAUUCACUGUCAUUUGAGUACCUUGUACAUUUUGCUCAGUCAAAAUAAAUUCUUUUGUUAAGA